Molecule: ribosomal RNA, 522 nt
Filed under: uncultured bacterium
Lineage: Bacteria
Description: bacterial SSU rRNA
Rfam family: Bacterial small subunit ribosomal RNA
Source: RNAcentral
CCAGAGAACUUAGCAGAGAUGCUUUGGUGCCUUCGGGAACUCUGAGACAGGUGCUGCAUGGCUGUCGUCAGCUCGUGUUGUGAAAUGUUGGGUUAAGUCCCGCAACGAGCGCAACCCUUAUCCUUUGUUUGCCAGCGGCUCGGCCGGGAACUCAAAGGAGACUGCCGGUGAUAAACCGGAGGAAGGUGGGGAUGACGUCAAGUCAUCAUGGCCCUUACGGCCAGGGCUACACACGUGCUACAAUGGCGCAUACAAAGAGAAGCGACCUCGCGAGAGCAAGCGGACCUCAUAAAGUGCGUCGUAGUCCGGAUUGGAGUCUGCAACUCGACUCCAUGAAGUCGGAAUCGCUAGUAAUCGUAGAUCAGAAUGCUACGGUGAAUACGUUCCCGGGCCUUGUACACACCGCCCGUCACACCAUGGGAGUGGGUUGCAAAAGAAGUAGGUAGCUUAACCUUCGGGAGGGCGCUUACCACUUUGUGAUUCAUGACUGGGGUGAAGUCGUAACAAGGUAGGCGUAGCGAG